This 65-nucleotide transfer RNA is filed under the name Illinigina sp. EMHAU-15062817. RNAcentral's name for it is "tRNA-Glu". The record is from RNAcentral. Lineage: Eukaryota; Metazoa; Arthropoda; Insecta; Hemiptera; Cicadellidae.
AUUUUUGUAGUUUAAUUAAAACUCUUUAUUUUCAUUAAAAAAAUGAUUUAUAAAAUCCAAAAAUU